ACAGUCGUUCAGAGUUUGAUCCUGGCUCAGGAUGAACGCUAGCGGCAGGCUUAACACAUGCAAGUCGAGGGGCAGCAUGACACGGAGAUUCGUCGAAGUGUUGAUGGCGACCGGCGCAAGGGUGUGUAACGCGUGAGCAACUUGCCCGUUUCAGGGGGAUAACCGGUGGAAACGCCGACUAAUACCCCAUGGUAUGUUUUUAAGGCAUCUUUUAAACAUUAAAGAAUUUCGGAAACGGAUAGGCUCGCGUGACAUUAGCUAGAUGGCGGGGUAACGGCCCACCAUGGCGACGAUGUCUAGGGGUUCUGAGAGGAAGGUCCCCCACACUGGAACUGAGACACGGUCCAG
RNAcentral lists this ribosomal RNA (348 nucleotides) under uncultured bacterium. RNAcentral describes it as "bacterial SSU rRNA". It matches the Rfam family "Bacterial small subunit ribosomal RNA", at positions 1 to 334 of the family's 1533-position model. The record is from RNAcentral.